This 2922-nucleotide ribosomal RNA is filed under the name Campylobacter jejuni subsp. jejuni. Its description in RNAcentral is "bacterial LSU rRNA". It matches the Rfam family "Bacterial large subunit ribosomal RNA". The record is from RNAcentral. Lineage: Bacteria; Pseudomonadati; Campylobacterota; Epsilonproteobacteria; Campylobacterales; Campylobacteraceae.
UAAAAAAAGGUAAGCUACUAAGAGCGAAUGGUGGAUGCCUUGACUGGUAAAGGCGAUGAAGGACGUACUAGACUGCGAUAAGCUACGGGGAGCUGUCAAGAAGCUUUGAUCCGUAGAUUUCCGAAUGGGGCAACCCAAUGUAUAGAGAUAUGCAUUACCUAUAUAGGAGCGAACGAGGGGAAUUGAAACAUCUUAGUACCCUCAGGAAAAGAAAUCAAUAGAGAUUGCGUCAGUAGCGGCGAGCGAAAGCGCAAGAGGGCAAACCCAGUGCUUGCACUGGGGGUUGUAGGACUGCAAUGUGCAAGAGGUAAGUUUAGCAGAACAUUCUGGAAAGUAUAACCAUAGAGGGUGAUAGUCCCGUAUGCGAAAAACAAACCUUAGCUAGCAGUAUCCUGAGUAGGGCGGGACACGAGGAAUCCUGUCUGAAUCCGGGUCGACCACGAUCCAACCCUAAAUACUAAUACCAGAUCGAUAGUGCACAAGUACCGUGAGGGAAAGGUGAAAAGAACUGAGGUGAUCAGAGUGAAAUAGAACCUGAAACCAUUUGCUUACAAUCAUUCAGAGCCCUAUGUAGCAAUACAGGGUGAUGGACUGCCUUUUGCAUAAUGAGCCUGCGAGUUGUGGUGUCUGGCAAGGUUAAGCAAACGCGAAGCCGUAGCGAAAGCGAGUCUGAAUAGGGCGCUUAGUCAGAUGCUGCAGACCCGAAACGAAGUGAUCUAUCCAUGAGCAAGUUGAAGCUAGUGUAAGAACUAGUGGAGGACUGAACCCAUAGGCGUUGAAAAGCCCCGGGAUGACUUGUGGAUAGGGGUGAAAGGCCAAUCAAACUUCGUGAUAGCUGGUUCUCUCCGAAAUAUAUUUAGGUAUAGCGUUGUGUCGUAAUAUAAGGGGUAGAGCACUGAAUGGGCUAGGGCAUACACCAAUGUACCAAACCCUAUCAAACUCCGAAUACCUUAUAUGUAAUCACAGCAGUCAGGCGGCGAGUGAUAAAAUCCGUCGUCAAGAGGGAAACAACCCAGACUACCAGCUAAGGUCCCUAAAUCUUACUUAAGUGGAAAACGAUGUGAAGUUACUUAAACAACCAGGAGGUUGGCUUAGAAGCAGCCAUCCUUUAAAGAAAGCGUAAUAGCUCACUGGUCUAGUGAUUUUGCGCGGAAAAUAUAACGGGGCUAAAGUAAGUACCGAAGCUGUAGACUUAGUUUACUAAGUGGUAGGAGAGCGUUCUAUUUGCGUCGAAGGUAUACCGGUAAGGAGUGCUGGAGCGAAUAGAAGUGAGCAUGCAGGCAUGAGUAGCGAUAAUUAAUGUGAGAAUCAUUAACGCCGUAAACCCAAGGUUUCCUACGCGAUGCUCGUCAUCGUAGGGUUAGUCGGGUCCUAAGUCGAGUCCGAAAGGGGUAGACGAUGGCAAAUUGGUUAAUAUUCCAAUACCAACAUUAGUGUGCGAUGGAAGGACGCUUAGGGCUAAGGGGGCUAGCGGAUGGAAGUGCUAGUCUAAGGUCGUAGGAGGUUAUACAGGCAAAUCCGUAUAACAAUACUCCGAGAACUGAAAGGCUUUUGAAGUCUUCGGAUGGAUAGAAGAACCCCUGAUGCCGUCGAGCCAAGAAAAGUUUCUAAGUUUAGCUAAUGUUGCCCGUACCGUAAACCGACACAGGUGGGUGGGAUGAGUAUUCUAAGGCGCGUGGAAGAACUCUCUUUAAGGAACUCUGCAAAAUAGCACCGUAUCUUCGGUAUAAGGUGUGGUUAGCUUUGUAUUAGGAUUUACUCCGAAAGCAAGGAAACUUACAACAAAGAGUCCCUCCCGACUGUUUACCAAAAACACAGCACUCUGCUAACUCGUAAGAGGAUGUAUAGGGUGUGACGCCUGCCCGGUGCUCGAAGGUUAAUUGAUGGGGUUAGCAUUAGCGAAGCUCUUGAUCGAAGCCCGAGUAAACGGCGGCCGUAACUAUAACGGUCCUAAGGUAGCGAAAUUCCUUGUCGGUUAAAUACCGACCUGCAUGAAUGGCGUAACGAGAUGGGAGCUGUCUCAAAGAGGGAUCCAGUGAAAUUGUAGUGGAGGUGAAAAUUCCUCCUACCCGCGGCAAGACGGAAAGACCCCGUGGACCUUUACUACAGCUUGACACUGCUACUUGGAUAAGAAUGUGCAGGAUAGGUGGGAGGCUUUGAGUAUAUGACGCCAGUUGUAUAUGAGCCAUUGUUGAGAUACCACUCUUUCUUAUUUGGGUAGCUAACCAGCUUGAGUUAUCCUCAAGUGGGACAAUGUCUGGUGGGUAGUUUGACUGGGGCGGUCGCCUCCCAAAUAAUAACGGAGGCUUACAAAGGUUGGCUCAGAACGGUUGGAAAUCGUUCGUAGAGUAUAAAGGUAUAAGCCAGCUUAACUGCAAGACAUACAAGUCAAGCAGAGACGAAAGUCGGUCUUAGUGAUCCGGUGGUUCUGUGUGGAAGGGCCAUCGCUCAAAGGAUAAAAGGUACCCCGGGGAUAACAGGCUGAUCUCCCCCAAGAGCUCACAUCGACGGGGAGGUUUGGCACCUCGAUGUCGGCUCAUCGCAUCCUGGGGCUGGAGCAGGUCCCAAGGGUAUGGCUGUUCGCCAUUUAAAGCGGUACGCGAGCUGGGUUCAGAACGUCGUGAGACAGUUCGGUCCCUAUCUGCCGUGGGCGUAAGAAGAUUGAAGAGAUUUGACCCUAGUACGAGAGGACCGGGUUGAACAAACCACUGGUGUAGCUGUUGUUCUGCCAAGAGCAUCGCAGCGUAGCUAAGUUUGGAAAGGAUAAACGCUGAAAGCAUCUAAGCGUGAAGCCAACUCUAAGAUGAAUCUUCUCUAAGCUCUCUAGAAGACUACUAGUUUGAUAGGCUGGGUGUGUAAUGGAUGAAAGUCCUUUAGCUGACCAGUACUAAUAGAGCGUUUGGCUUAUCUUUAAUAAAGCAU